This 394-nucleotide transfer-messenger RNA is filed under the name bovine gut metagenome. It matches the Rfam family "transfer-messenger RNA". From Rfam's summary of the family: Bacterial tmRNA, also known as 10Sa RNA or SsrA, is named for its dual tRNA and mRNA-like properties. Its role is to liberate the mRNA from a stalled ribosome. The record is from RNAcentral.
GGGGAUAAUUGGUUUUGACAGCAGGUAGAACAGGUAUGUAAGCACGCCGAGCACUGCAGAGACGCUCGUAAAUAUCGUCUGUAAAACAAUAACUGGCAACUACAAUGUAGCUCUCGCCGCUUAAUCGAAGUAUAGUAGAUUAGCUUUGUGUCGGCACAAGGUGCUGACCCGAGACGUCGCUCCGAGCCGACUCCUGAAGGCUCAACGGAUAUAGCGGCGCAGAAAUAUUCGGGAUAGCGCACGCAGGCUGCGAUGUGUGUGCGAAACAAUAGCAGAUAAGCCGGUAGUUGGUGGCUUGGGUCUUGCUACCGGAUGAAAACAAAAGCCAAGAUAAGCGUGUAGAAAGCAUAUUGGUUCCUUGUUUGGACGCGGGUUCGACUCCCGCUAUCUCCAC